Molecule: small RNA, 544 nt
Filed under: Drosophila pseudoobscura pseudoobscura
Lineage: Eukaryota; Metazoa; Arthropoda; Insecta; Diptera; Drosophilidae
Description: GA32468
Source: RNAcentral
UAAGUAAGAUGAUAAAAAAUAGGGUAAGCGGAAGUAUCUUUAGAAGUCCGAGUAUCUUUCAACUCUCUCCAAAGACAUGUUCAGACUUCAAUUACCAAUUGAUUUGUCUGUAUGCCCCUAUUGAAAUGCAAACCGAAAAAGCAAAGAGUUUUCUAUCAUUUAUUUUAUAGAUUUUAUGGCAGCAAUACAAAGCCUAAACAAUUGGUUACACAUUAAUGUAUAGUAUUCUCAGGUCCCUUUGUUCAAGGUCCCCCAUUUUCCAUUUCCAGCUUAAAUUGGCAUAACAAUUGCAAUUAUUGGCAAUUUCAUGGGCACUUGGGGACAGCCUACAGCCCUACGACCGUCUGGUAUGGUCUGUAAUCGAGGCCAUGCGCGAACAAAAGGAGCGGACCAAAGAGAGGAAGAGCUGGUGAGAUAAGCUCGCUUGAGAGAGUGCGAGUGUAACGACUCAUGGCUCGCCUACGUCACAAAUGUAGUGUUUGAGUUUGUUUUGACUCUUGCUUCGCGUUGAUAAUGCAAAAUAAACGAUAAAUAGCAACUCGGA